Molecule: ribosomal RNA, 492 nt
Filed under: uncultured bacterium
Lineage: Bacteria
Description: partial 16S ribosomal RNA
Rfam family: Bacterial small subunit ribosomal RNA
Source: RNAcentral
AGUGAACGCUGGCGGUAGGCCUAACACAUGCAAGUCGAACGGCAGCACAGUAAGAGCUUGCUCUUACGGGUGGCGAGUGGCGGACGGGUGAGGAAUACAUCGGAAUCUACUUUUUCGUGGGGGAUAACGUAGGGAAACUUACGCUAAUACCGCAUACGACCUACGGGUGAAAGCAGGGGAUCUUCGGACCUUGCGCGAUUGAAUGAGCCGAUGUCGGAUUAGCUAGUUGGCGGGGUAAAGGCCCACCAAGGCGACGAUCCGUAGCUGGUCUGAGAGGAUGAUCGGCCGCACUGGAGCUGAGACGCGGUCCAGACUCCUGCGGGAGGCAGCAGUGGGGAAUAGUGGGCAAUGGGCGCAAGCCUGAUCCAGCCAUACCGCGUGGGUGAAGAAGGCCUUCGGGUUGUAAAGCCCUUUUGUUGGGAAAGAAAAGCAGCAGGUUGAUACCCAGCUGUUCUGACGGUACCCAAAGAAUAAGCACCGGCUAACUUCGUG